GACGGACGCUGGCGGCGUGCCUAAUACAUGCAAGUAGAACGCUGAAGAGAGGAGCUUGCUCUUCUUGGAUGAGUUGCGAACGGGUGAGUAACGCGUAGGUAACCCGCCUUGUAGCGGGGGAUAACUAUUGGAAACGAUAGCUAAUACCGCAUAACAAUGGAUGACACAUGUCAUUUAUUUGAAAGGGGCAAUUGCUCCACUACAAGAUGGACCUGCGUUGUAUUAGCUAGUAGGUGAGGUAAUGGCUCACCUAGGCGACGAUACAUAGCCGACCUGAGAGGGUGAUCGGCCACACUGGGACUGAGACACGGCCCAGACUCCUACGGGAGGCAGCAGUAGGGAAUCUUCGGCAAUGGGGGCAACCCUGACCGAGCAACGCCGCGGGAGUGAAGAAGGUUUUCGGAUCGUAAAGCUCUGUUGUAAGUCAAGAACGGGUGUGAGAGUGGAAAGUUCACACUGUGACGGUAGCUUACCAGAAAGGGACGGCUAACUACGUG
Molecule: ribosomal RNA, 497 nt
Filed under: uncultured bacterium
Lineage: Bacteria
Description: partial 16S ribosomal RNA
Rfam family: Bacterial small subunit ribosomal RNA
Source: RNAcentral